UCCACGUCUGCCCCAAUGGACGCCUC
This 26-nucleotide small RNA is filed under the name Bombyx mori (domestic silkworm). Its description in RNAcentral is "ovarian small RNA-26713". Lineage: Eukaryota; Metazoa; Arthropoda; Insecta; Lepidoptera; Bombycidae. The record is from RNAcentral.